CGGCGGCGGCGGCGGCGGCGGCGGCGGCGGCUGGAGGCCUCCGCCGCCCUCUCGCCGUCGUCGGCCGAAUAUUAUCAUGAACCGAACGGAACGAUGCGAUGGGGACAGCAAGCAGCGGAGAGCAGGACUCGGCCUGCCUGCCUGCCUGCCUGCCUGUCUGUCUGCCUCUGUAUUUAAAAUGUGACUCGUCUAUCGCAAGAAACACAUACGAUGCUGCUGCUGGAACGCGACGAGCGAGCGAAACAACGAACGUACGUACUGCGACUGCGCGCGCGCGGAACGAGAGAAAAGAGGAUGGAUAGAGCGGUGUGUUAGAGCGGGACAAAACUUACGGUGCGAAACGACGCGUCAUGGCAAUACCGUAAGGAGAGCCUCUCUGUAGCUAGAUGUUUUCUCGUACGAACACUUGAAACUUUUCACUAGCAUGCAUCUGAAAAAAAUUAGUUUCGCGAAAAAUUAUUCAACAUAUUAGAGAAUUUAACGCGUCACCGACAUCUCCUAUAGUGCCCCCGUGCGUCUGUGAUGUAUAUGUCACUGUAUGAAUCACGAUUCGAACGCUGCACGCGUUUAUUUUCAACAUUGCCAACCGGACCGACCGAGGGUCGUGUUUAAAUGUUGUUUUUCUCCAUUUAUACGGUUAUGAUCGAUAUUUUUUCAUGGACAAAUUGAAAGCGAACAUCCCAACGACCAUACGCAUCGAUGAAUCGUCAAUAUUGGUAUCGCUUCGGACCGUAUUUAUCGCAAUAGACUCGGGGGUCGUAAAACAUGAACGGCGGCCUCUCCUGUGUCGUUUGUUAGGGCAGGCGAUC
Ostrinia nubilalis (European corn borer) is the source of this 809-nucleotide long non-coding RNA. RefSeq lists it as uncharacterized. The transcript has 3 exons. The record is from RefSeq and is a predicted model, not a curated record. Lineage: Eukaryota; Metazoa; Arthropoda; Insecta; Lepidoptera; Crambidae.